AUUUUCAGGUUUAGAAUAGUUCACCAGUGAAGUCAUCUCAACCAGCACAGGGCCUUGACUCCUAACAACAAUCACACGAACUUGGAAGAGGAGCCUUCCCCAACUGAACCUUCGCUUGAGACCUCGUCCUUGGCCAUCCUCUACAUCUGGAUUCAUGAUACAGAGAAACUGUUUCAAAUAAUUCAUCAGUGAAUUCUUCUCAACCUGGUCAAUCAUGUGAACUUAGAAGAUGAUUCCUCCCCAGCUGAUCCUCAGGUGAGACAUCAGCCUUGGCCAUCAUCUACAUCUGGAUUCCUGACCCAGAGAAACUGCCUCUCUGGAUGGUGACUAUAACCUAUAGCCUUGCCCAAUAUGACUCAGGAUUUGGUACUGGCUGUGCCUUUCAUGGGAUGCUUACUUAUCCUGGUCGAUGGCCUAAAGCCCAACCGUCCAGCUUAUAUCCAGGGUCUCAAGCCACCCAGGCUGGAGUGCAGUGGCACAAUUAUGGCUCACUGUAGCCUCACCUUCCUGGGAUCAAGCAAUCUUCUUUCUUCAGCCUCCAGAGGAGCUGGGACCACAGAUCCUUUGGCAUUUGAGAGUUGCUUUGUGUAUACGGUCCUUUAACGGAGCAAAUGGCCAGCCAGGAAACCAAAGUAUGGACAAGGGGAAAGAAGCGUCUGUGGAGGAAGUUUUACAAGCGCCCUCCUCAUCCAUUUGGGUGGUGUUGCCCAUAUGCUACAUGUCUGUGGACCACUAUGUGUGUUUAAAGCUUUUUAGUAAAACGUUACUAAAAACUAUGACUCACUGUGGUGAAAAAGGUGGCAAAACAGUGACAACAACUUGUCAUUGCUACAGCAACACGGAGAUGCAUUGACACCCUUCUUCAAUCCAGAGGAUGGGCCAUCAACUCACAAAAGUACAAGGCCUGGAACCAGCUGCAAAGUUCCUAUGGAUCACUUGGCCAGACCGUGAUCAUGGGCUACAUUCUCCGUACCAGCUUCAUAGCUCCAGUGAGAAAAUAAAUUCCUGCAUCCAGGAGAUGUGGAGUAAGAGAUACAGCUGCCCUUGACCAUAUUUCUUACUUCCGAGAAGAUCGUAGCAGUAAUUCAGGUUAUUGGGGAACAGGUGGUUUGGGUUACAUGAAAUCUCAUCCAGGAUACCUCAUCACAGGCUGGAGUGCAGUGUCAUGAGCUUGGCUCACUACAGCCUCCAUCUUCUGUGCUUAAGGAUCCUUCCCUCUCAACCUCCAAGGUAGCUGAGACUACAGGCAACAUUCGAAACCCAGGUGCCACUCCUUCAGGAAGGUACCAUCAAGCUCCAAGGACUCAUCCUCUUUCUCCUUCCCCACUACCUAGUCAUUAGAGCGUCAGCAUCCACUUCCUGAAAGGAAGAUGCCUGUUUUUCACAUAUCCCAGAAAGCCUCAUUUUAGGACAGCAUUUAGCAGAGUGUAUUCAGGAUCCCACUAACCUUUUCGGAAGACAUGACUUCCAGAUGAUAUAAGGCAAGAAUAAGAAAUUUCAGUGACAGGGAACAGAAAUCAUAUUUCUGCAUUCAGGAUCAUGUUUUCUUGGCUCCAUCAGGAACUGUGCAGGACUGUGCACUCUGUUGAUACUCACAUGGUGGAAUUAUAUUGCCCUUGGCCAACCCUAAAGCCAUCAAGAUAGCAGGUUUGGAAUAAUUCACUGUCGAAGUCUUCUUGAGCUGAGCAGUCAUGUGAGCUUGGAAGAUGAUCCCUCUCCAGCUGAUCCUUCAGCUCAGGCCAUCAUCUACAUCUGGAUUCCUGACCCGGAGAAACUAUGAGUAAUGUGUGCUGCUUUUGAGCCACUAAGCUACAUGGUAAUAGGCUAUGCUUCAAUAAACAAUAAUACACUUGAUGAU
This 1858-nucleotide long non-coding RNA is filed under the name Homo sapiens (human). RNAcentral's name for it is "Prader-Willi region non-protein coding RNA 1". Lineage: Eukaryota; Metazoa; Chordata; Mammalia; Primates; Hominidae. The record is from RNAcentral.